GACGAACGCUGGCGGCGUGCUUAACACAUGCAAGUCGAACGAAGUGGCGAACGGGUGAGUAACGCGUAAUCAACCUGCCCUUCAGAGGGGGACAACAGUUGGAAACGAAUGCUAAUACCGCAUACGGAAGGAGGGGAUUGCGUCUGAUUAGCUAGUUGGAGGGGUAACGGCCCACCAAGGCGAUGAACAGUAGCCGGUCUGAGAGGAUGAACGGCCACAUUGGGACUGAGACACGGCCCAGACUCCUACGGGAGGCAGCAGUGGGGAAUCUUCCGCAAUGGACGAAAGUCUGACGGAGCAACGCCGCGUGAGUGAUGAAGGUUUUCGGAUCGUAAAGCUCUGUUGUUAAGGAAGCGGUACUUAACCAGAAAGGGACGGCUAACUACGUGCCAGCAGCCGCGGUAAUAC
Molecule: ribosomal RNA, 408 nt
Filed under: uncultured bacterium
Lineage: Bacteria
Description: partial 16S ribosomal RNA
Rfam family: Bacterial small subunit ribosomal RNA
Source: RNAcentral